CUCAGUUCCAACCUGGUUUUCUUCAGGAAGAUGCUGCCUGACCUGCUGAGUUUCUUCAGUGCAUUGUGGUUCUCAGAGAAAAGCUUACAUCUCGUCUCUGUCUUAAAUGGGUGACUCCUUGUUUCGAAACAGUGACCCACUGGUUCGAGAUUCUUCAACAAGAGGAAACUUCCUCCCCACAUCCAGCCGGUGAAGACCCUUUGGGAUGUUACAUGUUUCAAUCAAGGCACCUCUUACUCUUCUAAGCUCCAGUGGAUACAAGCCCAACCAAUCCAACCAUCCCUUAUGAGAUAACCCUCCCAUUCCAGGAUUCCCACCAUCUGGGUCAUGCCCUCUUCUCACUGCUACCAUCGAGCAGGAGGAACAGAAGCCUGAAGUCCCACACCACCAGGUUCAGGAACAGAUUCUUUCCUACAACCAUCAGGUUCUUCAACCAACCUGCACAACCCUAAUUCUACCUCAGCAACAGAACACUACAGACCACCUCUUGCACUGCCAUGGACUUGUCUCUGGUUUUUUGCAUUAAUGUCUUGUUUUGCACACUUUUUCUUCUUCACUGUCUUGUAUAAUUUAUGUAUAACUUAUGUUCUGUGUGUUGUUGUCUGAACCUACAUGCCUGUGAUGCUGCUGUAAGCAAGUUUUUCAUUGUACCUGUACCUCAGUGUACUUGUGCAUGUGACAAUGAACUCAACUUGAUGACUUAACUUGACAAUAUCCAAAAUUAAUAUUCAUCGAUGUCCUGCAUCACUCAUCUGUAAUCAUGCAAUGAGUUCAGAGUGUAUAGCUUGCAAUCAACCUGGCAGUAAAGUUAAGGAUGAACGUACAUCUUAAUAAUUCAAAAUAAUUCUUGCACGUUAAACAUGAACUCCUGACUCACAAUUUACCUUGUCGUGGCCCUUGCAGCUUAUUGUCGACCUGUACUGCACUUUCUCUGUAACUGUUACUGUAACACUAUAUUCUGCAUUUUUCUAUUACUUUUCCCUUGUAGUGCCUCAAUGUACUUAUGUUUUGAGAUGAUCUGUAUGGAUAGUUUGCAAAACUAACUUUUUCACUGUAAGUACACGUGACAAUAAUAAGCCAAUACCGACUGAAAGAUGCACCAACCUCCAUGUAGUAAAAACAACAUUAGAUGUUAAUUGGUAAUCUUGCAAUUAUGGUCUAAUUGGGUUUAGGAGAUGAAUAAUGCUUUUCCCCUGUGGUUUCCAAGAUUAUUUAAAAUUGUUAACUUUGCUACUGCAUUGAAUUGAUUCACUGACGAUGUCAUCACCAUGAUCGACCCUUAUCCAGAUGGGAAUUGCAUUGAUACUGGAGGAAAAUAGAUGGAAUGCAUUAGCAGUCAAAUGGAUUUUGUAGUUCCAGUAUCAUUACUAUUCUUUGGGCUAUUGAGCAGAUAAUGACCUUAAUUGUAAGAUAACUGUUGUUUUAAUAACAUUGUUAAUAAUCACAGAAUAAUGGGCCAAAGGAAAGCACUUUGCCCUUAAUUCUGAAAGGGUCAAAGAGAAGUGCUUUGUCUAUUUAAUCUUGAAAAACAUAAAUUAA
Long non-coding RNA from Pristis pectinata (smalltooth sawfish), 1539 nucleotides. RefSeq lists it as uncharacterized. The record is from RefSeq and is a predicted model, not a curated record. The transcript has 3 exons. Lineage: Eukaryota; Metazoa; Chordata; Chondrichthyes; Rhinopristiformes; Pristidae.